This 1497-nucleotide long non-coding RNA is filed under the name Macaca fascicularis (crab-eating macaque). RNAcentral describes it as "lncRNA (ENSMFAG00000053547.1)". Lineage: Eukaryota; Metazoa; Chordata; Mammalia; Primates; Cercopithecidae. The record is from RNAcentral.
GAUGAUGUCAGCCAUGGCAGAUACAGCUCUUCCACCUACAUUGCAGAUCCACAGGCUUACCACUCCCCCCAGCCUUCUCUUAGAUGGGCCCCUGGACUCCAGAACAGCCAUUGACCCACAGGUGUUCCUUCCCAGCUUCCAAGCUCACAGGAGGCUCAGUGGGGACUCUCCUCCUAGUACAUGGCCACCCACAGGCACUUUCAACAACACAGGUCCCUUCUACAUUCUGGGAUCCUGCUGCCUUACCCAGCAGUGGGAUAAUGGGAAGGGAAAGAGCUGCAACAAACAGAGCAGAGGCCACAAGCCUCACCUUCCCUCAUGGUAAAGGAAUGCGGGAAUCCUACCAGCCCAGGGAGCUUCUUCCCAAAUAUACCUAGAAGCCCAGCACCAGCUGAGGGAUUCACUCCACCACAGCUGGGCAUGGGAGAUUUCAAUGUGUGCUGGAGACCUUGAUCCUGGUCACCCUACAAGGAAUACCUCUCCUCCAGGUCACAUUAUGCUGAUACUCUCCUUAACCUGGAUGGACUCCUUGUCCUCACCACAUGGUGUUGGCCAGAAGUGUUACUCCUGGUGCCCCAGCCCUGAGUCCUUGUCUCCUGUCCAAGUGAUAGCCAUAGAAAUAGUAAAAUAGUGGCACAUUAGACCUCAUGACAUUUUUAAGGCUGACCAUAUUUAUAUAAGGCUGACCAUAUUUAUAAGCAUUUCAUCCAGAUAUUUAUGAAUUUAUCUCAUUUAUUUAUUUAUAGCUUUCAUUUCAAAAUCAAUUUUUGCUUGAGAAUUAUUUUAACAUAUAACCAAAUGUUCAGAGCUAUGACAUUUAGGUUUUAAGCUCAAAAGUCUGUAUCUGCUAUUACGUUGGGUAAAACCUAUCCAGCGCUUAAAAAAAUAAGUAAUUAUUAGGCAUGGCCACUGUAUUGGUCUGAAACACUGAAAUUCUCCACAAACCCUUUUGAAAAUAUUCCUGGUGGGACUGAACACAGUACUUGCUUCUCAUGAAUAGAAAACAGUGCAAGCAUUUUCUGGAUACUGGGCCACCUCUGGCCUAGGUUAGAAGAAGUGACACAGCUCUGCCUUAGUCUCUUGCUCAUGGGGCAAACCCCUCAGAAGACCCCAACCAGUACAUCACGAACUCUAACACCUUGAUAACACUAUGCAGAAGGGACAUUCCAUGGAGAGACUCUUAGAAAUAGAAGGAGGGCCAGGCACGGUCGUUUACACCUGUAAUCCCAGCACUCUGGGAGGCCGAGGUGGGCAGAUCACGAGAUCAGGAGAUCAAGACCAUCCUGGCUAGCACAGUGAAACCCCAUCUCUACUAAAAGUAAAAAAAAAAUUAGCUAGGCGUGGUGGUGGGCGCCUGUAGCCCAGCUACUCAGGAGGCUGAGGCAGGAGAAUGGUGUGAACCCAGGAGGCAGAACUUGCAGUGAAUCAAGAUUGCGCUACUGCACUCCAGCCUGGGAAACAGUGCAAGACUCCAUUUCAAACAAAAAAAAAAAAAAA